GAUGAAGAACGUAGCGAAAUGCGAUAAGUAAUGUGAAUUGCAGAAUUCAGUGAAUCAUCGAAUCUUUGAACGCACCUUGCGCCCUUUGGCCAUUCCGAAGGGCAUGCCUGUUUGAGUAUCAUGAACACCUCAACUCUUUAUGGUUUUCCAUGAUGAGCUUGGACUUUGGGGGUUUUGCUGGCCUAUGGUCGGCUCCUCUAAAAUAAAUCAGCUUACCAGUGUUUGGUGGGUAUCAUGGGUGUGAUAACUAUCUACGCUUGUGGUUUUUCCGCCAGGUAACCUUCGACAGCGGAGGUUCACUGGAGCUCAUAGAUGUCUCUCCUCAGCGAGGACAGCCCUUUGAAUGUUUGAUCUUAAAUCAGGUAGGACUACCCGCUGAACUUAAGCAUAUCAAUAAGCGGAGGA
RNAcentral lists this unclassified non-coding RNA (405 nucleotides) under soil metagenome. Its description in RNAcentral is "partial contains 5.8S ribosomal RNA, internal transcribed spacer 2, and large subunit ribosomal RNA". The stretch from base 1 to 121 matches the Rfam family "5.8S ribosomal RNA", at positions 35 to 154 of the family's 154-position model. The record is from RNAcentral.